Molecule: ribosomal RNA, 158 nt
Filed under: Plusia festucae (rice looper)
Lineage: Eukaryota; Metazoa; Arthropoda; Insecta; Lepidoptera; Noctuidae
Description: partial large subunit ribosomal RNA
Source: RNAcentral
UUUUAUAUUUGAUUUAAUUAAAAUUAUUUAUAAAUAUUAAAAAAUUGAAAUUAUAUUAAUUAUUUUAUUGGGGUGAUAGAAAAAUUAAAAUAACUUUUUUUUAAAUUAAAACAAUAAUAUUUGAAUAUAUGAGCCAAUUAUAUUGAUUAUAAGAAAAA